CGGGUGAGUAAUGUAUGGGGAUCUGCCUGAUGGCGGGGGAUAACUACUGGAAACGGUAGCUAAUACCGCAUAAUGUCUACGGACCAAAGCGGGGGACCUCCGGGCCUCUUGCCAUCGGAUGUGCCCAGAUGGGAUUAGCUAGUAGGUGGGGUAACGGCUCACCUAGGCGACGAUCCCUAGCUGGUCUGAGAGGAUGACCAGCCACACUGGAACUGAGACACGGUCCAG
RNAcentral lists this ribosomal RNA (228 nucleotides) under uncultured bacterium. Its description in RNAcentral is "partial 16S ribosomal RNA". It matches the Rfam family "Bacterial small subunit ribosomal RNA", at positions 103 to 334 of the family's 1533-position model. The record is from RNAcentral.